GGAAGGAUCAUUACAACGUAUCCACGUACCAACUCUCGAACCGUUCCCAACGGAGCAAACACUGUGGAUGAAGUUAAUGGCUGUCUGUCUUUCGCUGAUGGAAGUCCGCUGACUUUUGUCAGAGGGACUGGAAGGCAUUCGGUCGCCGGAGCUCGCGUCUCUGGGACUUCGUUUACUUCGUUGCGGUUUUACCGUCAGCGUUUGUAAUACCAUUAUUGACCCUUUGAACUUAUGAACUGAACUUGAUGGCUUUGCGGCUGUCCUUGCUGGCUUCGGUCACGGACUUAACUGCCUAGCUUAUCACAUUUACGAAACAAAGAACAACUCUUAGCAACGGAUAUCUUGGUUCUCGUAUCGAUGAAGAACGCAGCAAAAUGCGAUACGUAAUGCGAAUUGCAGAAUUCAGUGAAUCAUCAAAUCUUUGAACGCAAAUUGCGCUCUCGGGAUAGGCCUGGGAGCACGCCUCUUUGAGUAUCGUUUCAACCACAACUCGAAAGCGUUGCUUUACUGCAUCGCUGACGGAGAAUGAGCGCUCUUGCAGUUUGCGAGACGCUUUAAAUUGAGCGAGUGACUUGAUAUCUGUCGAAAGAUAGACUUCUGUCUGCGGUGACGAGGAUAACUUCACAUUCAGUUGUGAACCCUUCCAUCGUGACUGUAAGGCAGAGCUGUCUGCGAUAGCUGUCGCCUUGUCACGGCCCAUCUGUGGUCAUCUGUUGCGGUGAACACAGAACUCCAUUUUGAACUAGAUCUCAAAUGAAGCGAGAAAACCCGCUGAACUUAAGCAUAUCAUUAAGCGGAGGAAAAGAAACUAACAAGGAUGCCCUCAGUAACGGCGAGUGAAGCGGGCAGAGCUCAAACUGAAAAUCGAGGCUCCAUGCGGGGUUUCGAAUUGUAGUCUAUAGACGCGCUAUCAGCGAUGAACCGGGUAUAAAUCUUUUGAAACAAGGUGUCAUAGAGGGUGAGAACCCCGUCUUUGACGCGGAGCUCAUUGCGUACGAUGCGUGUUCAAAGAGUCGAGUUGCUUGGGAUUGCAGCUCUAAGUGGGUGGUAAAUUUCAUCUAAAGCUAAAUAUUGACGAGAGACCGAUAGCGAACAAGUACCGUGAGGGAAAGAUGAAAAGAACUUUGAAAAGAGAGUUAAAAAGUACUUGAAAUUGUUAAGAGGGAAGCACUGGAAACCAGUAUUGCCGGUUGCUGUACUCGCCUAUUCGCGUGUUGGAGGCUGCGUGCCGGGAGUUCAAACCUCGGUUGCGUUGUCGAAGAUUCGUGAGUGGGUUCAGCAGUGAUUGGUGGGUCAAAAUCAAUUCGACUCGCGGGAGAAAGCUAUCUGGAAGAUAGGGUCGAGGGGCAACCUGAGACCUGUUAUAGACAGGUAGUGCUACCGUGGGUUGGAUUGAGGAACAAAUGCGCGCCACUAGGUUUCAGUUCCCUGACCCUGGGGUGCGAUCGGCGUUGGAUAGCAAAGCUAUGCACGUUGAGUAGUGCUCUACUGGAAGGGAUGAACUAGAUGCAGCAUUCGAGAUUUUGACGAAAUGGUUUUCAUUGACCCGUCUUGAAACACGGACCAAGGAGUCUAACAUAUAUGCGAGUGUUUGGGUGGCAAACCCUUGCGCGCAAUGAAAGUGAAGGCAGCUUGCUGCUGAGGUAGGAACCCUGGUCCCCGGACCAGGCGGCACUAUCGACCGAUCGUCACUUGUGAUAGAUUUGAGUAUGAGCAUAUCUGUUGGGACCCGAAAGAUGGUGAUCUAUGCCUGAACAGGGCGAAGCCAGGGGAAACUCUGGUGGAGGCUCGUAGCGAUACUGACGUGCAAAUCGUUCGUCUGAUUUGGGUAUAGGGGCGAAAGACUAAUCGAACCAUCUAGUAGCUGGUUCCCUC
This 1875-nucleotide unclassified non-coding RNA is filed under the name uncultured fungus. Its description in RNAcentral is "sequence contains 18S rRNA gene, ITS1, 5.8S rRNA gene, ITS2, 28S rRNA gene". The stretch from base 745 to 1875 matches the Rfam family "Eukaryotic large subunit ribosomal RNA", at positions 1 to 961 of the family's 3401-position model. The record is from RNAcentral. Lineage: Eukaryota; Fungi.